RNAcentral lists this ribosomal RNA (1525 nucleotides) under Candidatus Methylacidithermus pantelleriae. Its description in RNAcentral is "bacterial SSU rRNA". It matches the Rfam family "Bacterial small subunit ribosomal RNA". Lineage: Bacteria; Pseudomonadati; Verrucomicrobiota; Methylacidiphilae; Methylacidiphilales; Methylacidiphilaceae. The record is from RNAcentral.
AGAGUUUGAUUCUGGCUCAGAGCGAACGCUGGCGGCGUGGAUAAGACAUGCAAGUCGAGCGGAUUCUACUACCUGGCAACAGGUAGUGGAAUUAGCGGCGAACGGGCGAGUAACACGUGGGAAUCUGCCCCUAAGUGGGGGAUAGCCCGCCGAAAGGUGGGGUAAUCCCGCAUGUGGUCCGGGUUCUACCCGGAUCAAAGCGGGGGAUCCGGCUUUGCCGGACCUCGCGCUUGGGGAGGAGCCCGCGGCCUAUCAGCUAGUUGGUAGGGUAAUGGCCUACCAAGGCUACGACGGGUAGCUGGUCUGAGAGGACGGCCAGCCGCACUGGGACUGAGACACGGCCCAGACACCUACGGGUGGCAGCAGUCGAGAAUUUUUCACAAUGGGCGAAAGCCUGAUGGAGCGACGCCGCGUGGGGGAAGAAGGCCUUCGGGUUGUAAACCCCUGUCACCGGGGAACAAGCGAUGCAGGCUAAUACCCUGCAGAGUUGAUAGUACCCGGAGAGGAAGGGGCGGCAAACUCUGUGCCAGCAGCCGCGGUAAUACAGAGGCCCCGAGCGUUGCUCGGAUUUACUGGGCGUAAAGGGUGUGUAGGGGGUCGGGUAAGUCGAAUGUGAAAUCCCACGGCUCAACCGUGGAACGGCAUUCGAUACUGCCCGGCUAGAGGACCGGAGGGGGAAGCGGAACUCUCGGUGUAGCGGUGAAAUGCGUAGAUAUCGAGAGGAACACCGGUGGCGAAGGCGGCUUCCUGGAAGGUUCCUGACCCUGAAACACGAAAGCUAGGGGAGCGAACGGGAUUAGAUACCCCGGUAGUCCUAGCCGUAAACGGUGUGCGUUUGGCGUUGGCGGAUUCGACCCCGUCAGUGCCGUAGGUAACCCGUUAAACGCACCGCCUGAGGAGUACGGCCGCAAGGCUAAAACUCAAAGAAAUUGACGGGGGCCCGCACAAGCGGUGGAGCAUGUGGCUUAAUUCGAUGCAACGCGAAGAACCUUACCUGGGCUUGACAUGCCGCGUUCAGUUCCCGAAAGGGGAUGGCCCGAAAGGGCGAGCGGCACAGGUGCUGCAUGGCUGUCGUCAGCUCGUGCCGUGAGGUGUUGGGUUAAGUCCCGCAACGAGCGCAACCCCUGCGUCCUGUUGCCGAUGAGGCUCUCUGGACGGACUGCCCCGUUCAACGGGGAGGAAGGUGGGGAUGACGUCAAGUCAGUAUGGCCCUUAUGCCCAGGGCUGCACACGUGCUACAAUGCCCGGCACAAAGGGAAGCAAGGCCGUGAGGCGGAGCCAAUCCCCAAAACCGGGCCCAGUUCAGAUCGAAGGCUGCAACUCGCCUUCGUGAAGCCGGAAUCGCUAGUAAUGGCGCAUCAGCUACGGCGCCGUGAAUACGUUCCCGGGCCUUGUACACACCGCCCGUCACAUCCUGAAAGCUGGCUGUACCCGAAGUCGGUCGUAGGACCGCCGAAGGUAUGGCUGGUGAUUGGGAUGAAGUCGUAACAAGGUAGCCGUAGGGGAACCUGCGGCUGGAUCACCU